Molecule: ribosomal RNA, 472 nt
Filed under: Pseudomonas sp. oral taxon B99
Lineage: Bacteria; Pseudomonadati; Pseudomonadota; Gammaproteobacteria; Pseudomonadales; Pseudomonadaceae
Description: bacterial SSU rRNA
Rfam family: Bacterial small subunit ribosomal RNA
Source: RNAcentral
AUUGAACGCUGGCGGCAGGCCUAACACAUGCAAGUCGAGCGGUAGAGAGGAGCUUGCUUCUCUUGAGAGCGGCGGACGGGUGAGUAAUACCUAGGAAUCUGCCUGAUAGUGGGGGAUAACGUUCGGAAACGGACGCUAAUACCGCAUACGUCCUACGGGAGAAAGCAGGGGACCUUCGGGCCUUGCGCUAUCAGAUGAGCCUAGGUCGGAUUAGCUAGUUGGUGAGGUAAUGGCUCACCAAGGCUACGAUCCGUAACUGGUCUGAGAGGAUGAUCAGUCACACUGGAACUGAGACACGGUCCAGACUCCUACGGGAGGCAGCAGUGGGGAAUAUUGGACAAUGGGCGAAAGCCUGAUCCAGCCAUGCCGCGUGUGUGAAGAAGGUCUUCGGAUUGUAAAGCACUUUAAGUUGGGAGGAAGGGCAGUUAUCUAAUACGUGAUUGUCUUGACGUUACCGACAGAAUAAGCACCG